AUUGAACGCUGGCGGCAGGCCUAACACAUGCAAGUCGAACGAGUGGCGGACGGGUGAGUAAUGUCUGGGAAACUGCCCGAUGGAGGGGGAUAACUACAGGAAACGGUAGCUAAUACCGCAUACCAUCGGAUGUGCACAGAUGGGAUUAGCUAGGCGGUGGGGUAACGGCACACCUAGGCGGCGAUCCCUAGCUGGUCUGAGAGGAUGCCCAGCCACCCGUGAACUGAGCCGCGGUCCAGACUCCUACGGGAGGCAGCAGUGGGGAAUAUUGCACAAUGGGCGCAAUCCUGAUGCAGCCAUGCCGCGUGUAUGAAGAAGGCCUUCGGGUUUUAAAGUACUUUCAUCGAGGCUGCGUUACUCGCAGAAGAAGCCCCGGCUAACUCCGUGCCAGCAGCCGCGGUAAUAC
Molecule: ribosomal RNA, 406 nt
Filed under: uncultured bacterium
Lineage: Bacteria
Description: partial 16S ribosomal RNA
Rfam family: Bacterial small subunit ribosomal RNA
Source: RNAcentral